RNAcentral lists this ribosomal RNA (564 nucleotides) under uncultured bacterium. RNAcentral's name for it is "partial 16S ribosomal RNA". It matches the Rfam family "Bacterial small subunit ribosomal RNA", at positions 355 to 902 of the family's 1533-position model. The record is from RNAcentral.
UGGGGAAUUUUGGACAAUGGGCGAAAGCCUGAUCCAGCAAUGCCGCGUGUGUGAAGAAGGCCUUCGGGUUGUAAAGCACUUUUGUCCGGAAAGAAAUCCUUGGCUCUAAUACAGUCGGGGGAUGACGGUACCGGAAGAAUAAGCACCGGCUAACUACGUGCCAGCAGCCGCGGUAAUACGUAGGGUGCAAGCGUUAAUCGGAAUUACUGGGCGUAAAGCGUGCGCAGGCGGUUUGCUAAGACCGAUGUGAAAUCCCCGGGCUCAACCUGGGAACUGCAUUGGUGACUGGGCAGGCUAGAGUAUGGCAGAGGGGGGUAGAAUUCCACGUGUAGCAGUGAAAUGCGUAGAGAUGUGGAGGAAUACCGAUGGCGAAGGCAGCCCCUGGGCCAAUACUGACGCUCAUGCACGAAAAGCGUGGGGGAGCAAAACAGGAUUAGAUACCCUGGUAGUCCACGCCCUAAAACGAUGUCAACUAGUUGUUGGGGAUUCAUUUCCUUAGUAAACGUAGCUAAACGCGUGAAAGUUGACCGCCUGGGGGAGUACGGUCGCAAAGAUUAAAAACUU